RNAcentral lists this ribosomal RNA (389 nucleotides) under Albifimbria verrucaria. RNAcentral's name for it is "bacterial SSU rRNA". It matches the Rfam family "Eukaryotic small subunit ribosomal RNA", at positions 21 to 374 of the family's 1831-position model. Lineage: Eukaryota; Fungi; Ascomycota; Sordariomycetes; Hypocreales; Stachybotryaceae. The record is from RNAcentral.
UGUAGUCAUAUGCUUGUCUCAAAGAUUAAGCCAUGCAUGUCUAAGUAUAAGCAAUUAUACAGCGAAACUGCGAAUGGCUCAUUAUAUAAGUUAUCGUUUAUUUGAUAGUACCUUACUACUUGGAUAACCGUGGUAAUUCUAGAGCUAAUACAUGCUAAAAAUCCCGACUUCGGAAGGGAUGUAUUUAUUAGAUUAAAAACCAAUGCCCUCUGGGCUCUCUGGUGAUUCAUGAUAACUUCUCGAAUCGCAUGGCCUUGUGCCGGCGAUGGUUCAUUCAAAUUUCUUCCCUAUCAACUUUCGAUGUUUGGGUAGUGGCCAAACAUGGUUGCAACGGGUAACGGGGAAUGGGGCGGGGGCGGCGGGCCGGGCGCGGGGCGCGGCGGGCGGCA